RNAcentral lists this ribosomal RNA (430 nucleotides) under uncultured bacterium. RNAcentral's name for it is "bacterial SSU rRNA". It matches the Rfam family "Bacterial small subunit ribosomal RNA", at positions 354 to 776 of the family's 1533-position model. The record is from RNAcentral. RNAcentral also lists the same sequence under 1 other name.
GUAGGGAAUCUUCCACAAUGGGCGAAAGCCUGAUGGAGCAACGCCGCGUGGGUGAAGAAGGUCUUCGGAUCGUAAAACCCUGUUGUUAGAGAAGAAAGUGCGUGAGAGUAACUGUUCACGUUUCGACGGUAUCUAACCAGAAAGCCACGGCUAACUACGUGCCAGCAGCCGCGGUAAUACGUAGGUGGCAAGCGUUAUCCGGAUUUAUUGGGCGUAAAGGGAACGCAGGCGGUCUUUUAAGUCUGAUGUGAAAGCCUUCGGCUUAACCGGAGUAGUGCAUUGGAAACUGGGAGACUUGAGUGCAGAAGAGGAGAGUGGAACUCCAUGUGUAGCGGUGAAAUGCGUAGAUAUAUGGAAGAACACCAGUGGCGAAAGCGGCUCUCUGGUCUGUAACUGACGCUGAGGUUCGAAAGCGUGGGUAGCAAACAGG